AUUGAACGCUGGCGGCAGGCUUAACACAUGCAAGUCGAGCGGGGGAAGGUAGCUUGCUACUGGACCUAGCGGCGGACGGGUGAGUAAUGCUUAGGAAUCUGCCUAUUAGUGGGGGACAACAUCUCGAAAGGGAUGCUAAUACCGCAUACGUCCUACGGGAGAAAGCAGGGGAUCUUCGGACCUUGCGCUAAUAGAUGAGCCUAAGUCGGAUUAGCUAGUUGGUGGGGUAAAGGCCUACCAAGGCGACGAUCUGUAGCGGGUCUGAGAGGAUGAUCCGCCACACUGGGACUGAGACACGGCCCAGACUCCUACGGGAGGCAGCAGUGGGGAAUAUUGGACAAUGGGGGGAACCCUGAUCCAGCCAUGCCGCGUGUGUGAAGAAGGCCUUAUGGUUGUAAAGCACUUUAAGCGAGGAGGAGGCUACUUUAGUUAAUACCUAGAGAUAGUGGACGUUACUCGCAGAAUAAGCACCGGCUAACUCUGUGCCAGCAGCCGCGGUAAUACAGAGGGUGCGAGCGUUAAUCGGAUUUACUGGGCGUAAAGCGUGCGUAGGCGGCUUAUUAAGUCGGAUGUGAAAUCCCCGAGCUUAACUUGGGAAUUGCAUUCGAUACUGGUGAGCUAGAGUAUGGGAGAGGAUGGUAGAAUUCCAGGUGUAGCGGUGAAAUGCGUAGAGAUCUGGGAGGAAUACCGAUGGCGAAAGCAGCCAUCUGGCCCUAAUACUGACGC
Molecule: ribosomal RNA, 726 nt
Filed under: Acinetobacter baumannii OIFC189
Lineage: Bacteria; Pseudomonadati; Pseudomonadota; Gammaproteobacteria; Moraxellales; Moraxellaceae
Description: bacterial SSU rRNA
Rfam family: Bacterial small subunit ribosomal RNA
Source: RNAcentral